GUCUGGUGUGGCAGCCAGACAAGCAGCAGCUGGAGACAAGAAGCCCCCAGCUAGGAGCUAGGGCCUCCGAAGUAGGAGUCGUGAUGCUGGCGUCCUGGCCUGAAGAUGGGUUCAGUUUGCACAGCAUCUGUCUUCCAAAUUGGCAACUCCACAUCUUCUCAGACAAUCCAUUUUAAGAUAUGGAUCUGCGGCAUGGUGAGUGCCAAGCCUAUGAAAGUCCAUACGUGCCACAUUUUCUUCCCAGUCUUGCAGUGUGUGGACAUUUGCCUCCUCAUUUGGGACUUUGUGGAGGCAGAAAAAGGCAAUCACGGAGAGGGGGCAGGGAGGCCAGAAACAGCGCAAGCCGAACCCUCCAACCCCCACCCUCCCUACCAUAUGCUUCUAUGGGUGGAAGUAGAUAGGCUUUGGGGUGAAAUAGAGUGAUUCUGUGAUACACUCACCUCCCAAAGCAAAACAGGGGCAGCUAUUUGCUGCAGAGUGGCUGUGGAGGAAAGGGCAGCGUCAGGCCCUUAGCCGGGUGAGGGAGGCCCUUGUAGGGCAUGAGCUAACUGGAGGACCCCCAGUCGGGUGGGUAAUGGAAGCCAAGCAUCCUCUUAGCUCGGGGAAGACCUGGCAGCCAUGAUCCAGCUCCUGGGCAGGCACAGCGACCAACACUGCCCAGCAACUCCCCAUAGGCCCACGGGCUACCAUCUGGAGCCAGACAGGGGUUCUCUACCCCUCCAACCUGGCGGGACGUUAAAUGUCACAUCCUCUCGGGGAUGUGGCCCAGCCAAGGACUGCCCUGACAGUCCGCCUCAGAGAGGCAGGGCCUGACAAGUUUUUGCUGGAAGGUACAUCCUUUUGGGAGAAGGAAAGGCCCAUCCCCAAAUCUAAUUCUAAACAAGGCCUGUUACUAAUGACUGUGUGGUAAGCCAGCUCAGCCGUCCACCUGCUCCAGCCCCUGGAAAAGCUGUGAAGGUACGUGGAAUCAUUACUAGCCUUCCCUGAGCCCAAGACCAUCUCUCAGAGGUCUCCAGGUCACUGGGGCCGAACGGGGAUCCCCAGCCGUCCUCUGCUACCAUGAGACGCCCCACAUGUCCUUUCAAUGCCUGCCCCUACAAUGACCAUUCAUUCAGUCUCCAAGGCCCAGGCCCUACACCAGCCCACAGCCAAUACCACCUGUGAAUCUCGCCAUGCGCUUUGGCUUUCAAGCAGGACAGAUGCCAAAUGACGAUACAUUCUAAUUCUGAAUCCUCAAAACUUGCUGAGAACAUAGGGAAGUGAUCGAUAGUUUCACCUUUGAGUAUUGAAAUUUAUUCCCAUCGGUGUUCAAAUGUAUACGCUGCCCACCCCAAAAAUGCAGACGCCCUUCUGGCCACACAGAGGGAGGCCUGGCGCCUCUGGUCACGUCCACACCUCGCCUAGCACCCCCAUUGCAUUGUGAAGUCUGGAAAGAGUCAUUCUUAUCUCAAGCCAGCCACACCAACCCCUGCCCUGGCGCCUCCUGGGACAAAUGCCUGUGGCCCAGGAGUGGAGAACUGUACCUUGUUUCCAAACAGGCCAUCUGUCUGGAACUGGCCUCUCUUCACUCCCUGACUCAUCAAUAAAUCUGUCUGCCUUUUUUCUCA
This is a long non-coding RNA of Canis lupus familiaris (dog), 1607 nucleotides long. RefSeq lists it as uncharacterized. The transcript is spliced from 2 exons. The record is from RefSeq and is a predicted model, not a curated record. NCBI's taxonomy places the organism in Eukaryota, Metazoa, Chordata, Mammalia, Carnivora, Canidae.